AAUAUUAUACUUUUAUUUAAAUAUUUAAUUUAAUAUUAUAUUAUACUUUUGCUAAAUGUAAAAACUUUUUGUUACAGGCAACUAGUUAAAGAAAUAUAUUUUUUAUUUGCUUUAAUGCGUUUUUUGAUAAGCGUAUGAAUUAAAUAUAUUUGCAGCCUUUAUUAAAAUAUGAUCAGAAACGGCCAUAGUACUUGAUGUUAAUACACCUGUGUGACAUAGUCAUUGAGUAGCUAUCGCAAUAAAGAAGGCUGCGAAAACGAUUUCCUCAACUUGAUCGUCGUAAAACAAAUUGGGGGCUAAGGUCAAACCUCGUGUAUGCGACCUUAGUGCCUGGUGGCAGCUCGUGUAUGCGAUUCACAGCACUUGUACUAUUGGUAGUUACCUUCUCUCUCUUUUCGUCACUUGAGCCGCGCGCAUGCACAUAAUGUGAGUCACACAUGACGAGUAAUCUGAAUUAAUCACAUCCUGCCCACUGUGUCAUUAAUGUCAUUGCCGUGUGUCGUCCGACUGAGAGAAUCGGACAAAAUAAACGAAAGAAUCGCCUUAAAUAUCUAAUCCUCCUAUCAAUGAAUUCAUUUCAAAAACGGACCCACCUAACAUGGCACCUACAAACCAAACUUGCCGACUUAUUGACUAGAUUACUGUUAACUAGUUAAACGAACCUGAUAAUAGUCGACUGAAGACAAUGGAAUAGUGGUAGAAACAUUACAUAGUUGAAAUUGCUCACUUCAAAGGACGAUACAUCUUGACACCACGCUUUCCAAGCAGUGGUAUUCACUGCGAUAUUCAGUGACAUUCGCGCCAAAACUUUGUCGAGCUGAUUCCUGAUUGGCUGGAGCGAAAUGACUUUUCAUUCGUUUACAGUUUAAAGCCGCGCGCCACACACAAAUUGAAUAGGGAGAUAAAUGUUUCACGGUUUAGGUUACGAAAUAUUUAUUUUUCUUACUCUGUCUGUCUCUUAUCGUGUGGUUAUUAACAAUUUUCUUCAUAUUAGGAACAAGAAAUAAUUUUAUGUAGCAAUAAAUCGAUUAGAUCACACGGAAUCAUCACUUAAUUCCGUAAGUAUACUUAAAUAUAAUUUAGAUAAGGUAUUCUAGGAAAACCGGUUUUAACUUGUUUUUCAGCAGUAUCAAAAAGUACACAUAGGUGUAAUACUUAGUUUCUUUAAUAUGUCAAGACUGACAUAAUGAAAUAAACAAUAUUGAUAUACAUAAACAAUAUGAUAUUUCAAGUUUCUGAAUUAAUAACUGCUAUUUAGAUUUGAAACAAGAUAUUGCUGUAUAUAUUAAUUUAAAUGCCGUCAUUUUUAGAUACUAUAUCCUAAAUCUAUGUAUGUACAAUAAGUAAAUUAUGUAUGUAAUAAUUUUAUGUAAAAAUAUUAAAUAAAAUAAUUGAAAAAACCAAAACCGAUAAUCUUUAAGAAAAUUCGUAUUAUUUGUACAAUAACUAGGUUAAUUAGUUACUGCAAUAUUUUUAUUAUUAACAAUAUGAUUAUUUCAUUUGAUCCAUUUUAUCGUAAUUAUGUUUAAAGAGUAAUAAUAAAAUCAAAAUAUGAAAGGGCUUUUAUACAUUCUGUUUAUUUUUCAUAACACAUUUCAAGCAUAAUGAUAUCAACAGCCAUGCCAUCUCGUCUUAAAUUAUUAUUAAAUAUUCAUGCUUAAAGAUCUUGUCGCCGCGAUUGAAGCGCUAGUUUCGAAAUCAAAGGUAAUAUCACAACGAUAUGGGAUAGAAAGUUCGUACACAUGAAAAGUUCUCGAAAGACAGAUUUCUUAGAAUACAUAUUGUUUGAAACUUUGGAACUUUUUCAUAGUAAUCCGGGUAUUAAUCUUUCUCUCGAUAAUUGUCAUUAGCAGCCACUGUUGUUUGCGAUUGUUCUGAUCGCUUUAAAGCUUUCUGAAGUUUGAAUUAAAUUUUCUUCUUUUUCAUUUACAACACAAAGUCAACAAAAGAAUCAAAGUAAUCUUAAAUUUGUUACUAUAUUCCUUUUGAGUGCGAUCAUCGAUUAUUUUCAGAUCGAUAGCAAAAACAAAUUGCAGUCUAUAGUAAAUACCAAUAUUUCAAGGGUUCAUAGCUUUGUGGAUUAUAAACCAUCCGAGUUAAAACGAUCGUUCAACAUACUCGUUUCAUCUCGUUCUAUGAUACUGACAGGUCUCUUGACAACUAUAUAUUGGCGCAGAUCAUAUUAAUAUCAACGGUAAUAUUCUUAAACAUCUAAUAAUCAAUGUCGUCAUAAUGGGUCUAAAUACAUAAUUUUUCUUAAUCGACAACAACAAAUGUAGGUGUACGAAGACCCAAAGCAAUAUUCCAGAACGACAAAAUUUAUAAUGAUUUCGCACUAUACUAAGUUCGAGUCUUCGUAGUCUACGGUAAAAUCUUAUUGAUCGAUACAGUAUUUUUGGUAACUAUUUUCUUUUUUGAUGUCGUAAUAUCACGUUCGGCUAACUUUUGUUGACGAACCUCUUCCCUAUACAUAAAAAGUUGCAAAGAUGUGAAAAGUAGAUGCAGUCAUGGGUAAUCGUAUUAUAUUAACUACUAAAGAAUAUUAACGUGUUCACGCUAAUUUCCUUUCCCGAGACAUCAAGUCGCGAUAUCUUGUUUUAACGGCUGAAAUUUAUUUCAGCAAGAUCAAAGCAGAAGUAGAGUUUUCUUGGCUCCGCAGUCGUUCAACGUUGCAAAUGCUUGAACCUCGAUAUUUAACUAUUUUAAUUAAGCGUUAGCGCUAAUAAUAGAAAAAUUCGAGUCGAUUUUACAAAGCAAUUGGUAAUCGUUGAGUCAGAAUCAGAGGGAAGUGGGGAACGUGAAGAUAAAUCUAACAUUAAGAACCAACGACACGGUGUCCCGACACAGAAAUUUGAUGUCAUGUUUUGUGAUCAUAUAUCUCAUAUAUCACACAUAUUCGUUCGUUUUUUUAUCGACUUCUCGACGAAAUCUUAAUGUAAUUCUAUAUCGGUAUUCCUCUCAAUUUUUCUCAUGUAAUACACCCUUUUAUAUGCAUCGAUUUCAAUUAAUCUCGUGCCUAACUGAGCGGUUCCCAACGCAUGUAUAUAACAUAGAUGAAACUUCAAAUGUCUUAUAGAUACAUACACAUAUCAUCAGAUAAUUUAACGAAUAGUAUUAUAAUCGGUAUGCAUGCAUAUAUGCGUUAUAAUAUACGAAUCACACUUAGAAUUAAUUUGACUUAUUCAGAUUAAUCGUCUUAAUUAGAAUAUUAUUUUGUUACCGUUCCUCUGUUUUCCUUAGCGUUCACAUUUCAUACAAUAUCGCGAGUUCUGUCGAAUUUUUACUAAUGUUACCGGCUACUCAGGAAUUACGUUAAAAUCAUCUUUAGUAAUAUUAACCUUAUGUGUAUUUAUAAUGUAUAUGUAUAUUAUAUAAUUAUCGUUACUUUAAAUGUAUAUAUAAUUUUAUAAUAUAUACUCCAUAUAUCUUUAAAUGUAUCUUAAAGCUUAAAAUUCCGCCACUUUUUUCUUUUCAUCAAAAUUUUCAUCUACUCUCAUACGCAUACGUCUCACGUACAUAAUUCGUCACAUACUUAAAGCGCUAAUUGUGUUAACGAUUAUCACACAGGAAACAUGUUCCAAAUAGAAUCUGGAGAAUAAACAUAGCUUGCAGGAUAGUGCAGGAUUGUUCUCGUUGAAAUUCCACCAUUUGGUUUCGAGAAACGGGCGUUCGGUUACGGCAAGCUAAGAAACUUUAAGCAUGAUUACUAAUAAUCCCACCGAACCUGAUUCAUGGCUAGUAGUUUUCUUCGGUAUCAAGCUUUUCCCGACUCUCUUUCAACUCUCUUUUUUCUUCUUCACGCUUGCGUGAAACGUAAUCUAUAUACUUUAACAACAGAUGUUCAUUAUUAGAAACAGCUCAUUCACAAUGAUGAAUAUACAUAUAUAAUCGUUCUCGAUCAGUGCACUGGAUACAAGUGUAAUAAUUCCUAUUAGUACUUUAUACCAUCAACGCAUAAUUCAUCAUCGUUUUCAUUAUCAUCGGUACCUUCGUCUUUUUUCCAUUAGUACGUUCUCAUUUUCAUUCCAUUUUCUUUUCCGUCUGCCUCAUCCUUCCUUCCUUUUUUUUUUUUUUUUUUCUUAAAAGUUAAUAGUGUCGUCGACGAUUAAUCUAUAUUAAGUUUUUUCUCAUAUCUCAAUAUGGCUCCGGGCGAGGACUCAAAAAUGAACGAUAAUAGUAAUAAUGGUAAUAGUAAUAAUAAUAAUAAUAAUAAUGAUAAUGAUAAUGAUGAGAAUAAUAAUAAUUAAUAUUAAUGACGACAAUAAUUAUAAUAAUAAUAAUAAUACUAAUGGUAAUUAAUAAUCGCACGUUACGUCGAUUAAUAAAUAGCAAUAAAAUUAUUGAUCUUGUUUUGGCAGCGCUCACAUUCGAAGUCGCCGCCCAUUCAGAUCGCUUCAUCUAUAGCCUUUGUACUAUCUUUUCGUCCAUAUAAUCAAGAGCGAUCGAUCCUUUUCUACGCUUUCAUCGAGAAUUUAAUGAAGAGAAUUUUCUUUUAACUCUGUAGCACCGAUCGCUUAUGCUAUCAAGGUCGAUUAUUUUCAUAUAAAUCGAUAAUUUCCAGUUAAAGUAGGAUUGCCAUUUCGCCAAUCCCAAAGAAAUAUCAUCGGUAUGAGAAUCGGUUAACUAUAGCUUAAUCGUUUUACGCAGUAUACAACACACAGGUAAAACAAUGUAAAAUGCAACGGAAUCUAAAAAUUUGUAUAUAAUAGAUAACAGAUCAUAUAAUGGCAGUAUAACUUUGGUAGUGAAUGUAUAAGCGUUUGCAAACAAUUAAAACGAGGGAUAAUGUUCCUCGUUGUUUGAUUAAGAUUAAAUUCACGACGUAAGCCCGCCCCGUCGUAAUUCGAAUAAGUAUCAUAAACCGCCAAGAAUCCCAGAUGCCAAGGGCGACGACCACCGCGCAAACGCUGUCCUUCGAAAAACGAACAAGCUCUCGGAACAACCAGCUUUGCUUCUAAAUUUAAGCCAUGAAGAAUGGAGAUCAGAUGACGGACAUUCGAUUUCGUUUACAUUAAGUACAUACCAUUAUCGUUGUUUGCUAUAAAGAAAAAUACAAAAAUAGGAAUAUCAAAUGUAAAAUUGCAAUUUACAAAGCAAAGGAAAUAUCGAUACGAUCAAGUAUCGGUUGAAAUACAAAAAUCAUCUCAGCGAGAUGAAAAAAGAGAGGAAGAAAAAUAAACUCCUCGCAAAAUGGUAAAAUCAUCACAUAGGAGAAUAUAAAUAGAUAGAAUAUUAAGUAGCAAAGAAAAUGAAGUACUAUCGAAAUAGAACACAAUUCCUCUGAUCUCCAGACUAUAGGAUACAACCUAUCGACUAUACGAUUGCGUGGACUAGCACUAGAUAUUAUCAUGCGGUACAAUAUAAUCAUAAAUAGAUAUUCCAUACGGUGUUGUACGAUUAUCACUAGGCUGAUUAAACUUUCCCGUGCAAACAGCGCGCUGUUUCUCGACAAAUCGAAAUCCAACGAAAUUUUGUUAUCUUCCACUCUUAUUUGCUUCGAAUCUUGUAACUAUGUACAUUUAUUAACGUUAAUGGCGGUAACUGCCGAAUUUGUUAUUUUCGCUUUCCAAUGUUCUUUCACUUUCCGAAAAAUUUGAGCAAUUCGACUAAAAUUCAGUUUUUCCUCUAAGUAUACGAAAGAAAAAAGAACACACAACGAAACAUAUCGAUUGCUUUCAUUCAAUAGUUUUGUAUUAGCCUUUCGAUAAUGAAAGGUAAUAACUAUCAUUAUUAUUUCUUUUCUUGAUCGUUUGAUUGAUUUUAUUUCUAUUUUAUUAAUACUUUCCAUUAAUACUAAUUAAUAACUAAAAUAUUAAUACUAAUUACUACUUUACGUUACCACCAUUAAUUAUAUCCACUGUAUACAACACAGCGUAAUCUACCUCCGUACUGGCGGAACUUAAAAUUAAAAUCCAAGGAUGACCUGUUUUUCAUUAAUUAAAUUAAAAGUUUUAUUUAUAAUUGCUUCACGCGCUCUUGCUAACAGUUUGCAAUAUUAUUUCCUCGUUCGAAAUAAUAAAAUAGAAAUCUAUUACAAAGCUAGUAAAAAUUGGAGGAUUUCCAAUCAAAAGUUCCACCGCACGAAACCUUCGGUAACAAUGCAAUCGUUCUUACCAAAUCAAUUAAUUAGUCUCCUGCUGUCUCGUUUCGAUGAGUUCAUUGACAAACUCGCAUGAAACAGACUCUCUUCCCUUCGACUUGUCUCUAUUAGCUUUUGUGUAUGCGUGUGCGCGUGCGCGCGUGUAUAUGAAUUUCGAUUAUUUCAGACAUCCCUCACCUUUCAUCCCGAAACGACGGAACUUUCGAUCGAGAUUCGCCGAGAGCCGCGUCCGAGAGCUUCUUCGUGGAAUUCGAAAUCAAAAGUUCCACCGUGCCGGGUGCACCGUACCGACGGGCAUAAAGACACUAACAUUUUGCUUUUUUUUUGUUUAAUACGUCUACGUGGCACGAACUAAGGGUAUCAAUUAUCCUCGGUGUACCCUACACGUUAGCGAGUCUCGUUGGCUAGGCGAAUAUCAAUAUAACUUCGAGAGAGAAAAAAAAGAGAAAAAAAGAACAUUAUACGUGCGUCAAAGCCCGCAACGAGACCAAGAAAUUAGCAGACGACGAAAAGCGAAAAAUUCGCAAAAGGGGCAAAAAAGUAAGGGAAACCUCUUACGCGCUCCAACUGAUAUCCCGAACGAUAUUUAGAUCACGAUGGUACGACCACUCCUCUUCGCCCCCGAUAAAAAGAAGUGAUACCGCCGCAGUUUUUUGUGCAGAAUUUUUCCGCUAAACUGUUUUUUUUUUUUUUUUUUGUGCAUCCUGAUA
Molecule: long non-coding RNA, 6810 nt
Organism: Bombus pyrosoma
Lineage: Eukaryota; Metazoa; Arthropoda; Insecta; Hymenoptera; Apidae
Exons: 2
Source: RefSeq, a predicted model, not a curated record